Long non-coding RNA from Hibiscus syriacus, 1061 nucleotides. RefSeq lists it as uncharacterized. The transcript is spliced from 4 exons. Lineage: Eukaryota; Viridiplantae; Streptophyta; Magnoliopsida; Malvales; Malvaceae. The record is from RefSeq and is a predicted model, not a curated record.
AAGAGGAAAACAAGUAGGUGUAAAUCUUUACACUUACAAAACAGUUAAAAGUAUCAAAUAUCGUAUAAUCAAGUUCUUCAGUUAGUUUUUCUGCUGUCGAUGUCAGUUUGUUUGAUCAAAUUAUGAGUUAUUUAUUUGGAAUGUAAUUGAACAGGUUUGAAGUUAUGCUGAAUAAUGCCAUUUACGGUAUUUUCCGUGGUGUGAUGAGGAAGUUGGAGAAUUGUUUUUGGAAGAUAAUGUUAUGAAUGAUUAGUGAAUGUUGUCCUAUGAAGCUUGCAAGCCAAUACAUAUGCUUUAAAAGUUGAGACUAGGAACUACUUUAGCUGUACUUUACUACUGGGAUAGGAACUCGUAGUGGCUCGUUCUUCCUUAUUAAGUGUGUCAGCUCAGUAUGAAGAAUAAUUAAAAUGCUGUGACAUGUUCAUAAUUCAGUUUUAGAGCGACUCUUAAGAGAGAGUAGUCAUUAUAGUCUAUCCACCGGUAUACUUCCUUCGCUUGGAGACAGGAGUACACGGAGAAUCAAGCUCAGAAGUUAUAUCAUUUCUCCUUAUGAUCGUCAUUACAGAUAAUAUUUGAUAAUAUUCUCAACCGUAAAAUACCUUGGCCACGGGCACCAGAAGAAAUAAGCCUGGAAGCAAAAGAUCUAAUUGAUGGACUGUUGACUGAAGAUCCUCAUCAGACUUGGAUCCAGAGGAGCAUCCGAGGUGAACACUUUCAUGUUUCUAGCAUGCUUAUCAGCAUGUAAUCAGGAAACAUAAAUCAUUACCCCAUUUAAAGUUGCUGCAGUGAUGAGUAAAAAUGGAAAGAGAAAGGGUGCUCGUAAACAAAAUGGGAACAUGGAGGGCAAGACAAAUCCAGUGCCCGAAAGGGGAGAUAGAGAUGUGAGUCUUACAGGUGCAAUAAUGGAUCAGAACGGUGACAGCUUGGAGAAACAUAAGAUUGAUUCUGCAAAGGAUGUCUCUGCUAGUGAAUCAUUUCUUAGGAUGGAAGACCACAGAAGACUGACUGAAACACAGUUGAAAAGGUUUAAGAACUCUCAUUUUUUUGUCAGGAUUGCAGAG